RNAcentral lists this ribosomal RNA (484 nucleotides) under uncultured bacterium. RNAcentral's name for it is "partial 16S ribosomal RNA". It matches the Rfam family "Bacterial small subunit ribosomal RNA", at positions 28 to 507 of the family's 1533-position model. The record is from RNAcentral.
AUUGAACGCUGGCGGCAUGCUUUACACAUGCCAGUCGAACGGCAGGGCGCGCUUCGGCCUGGCGGCGCGUGUGGAAAGGGUGUGUGAUACACGUGAAUGUGCUCAGCUGUGGGGGAUAGUAAGGCGAAAGACGGAUUAAUAAUGCCUACGACCUGCGGGUGAUAGAGGGGGAUCUUUGGACAUCGUGCUCUUGGAGCGGUCGACGGCCGACUAGUUAGCUGGUGGGGUAAAGGCCUACUAAGGCGACUAUCUGUAGCUGGCCUGAGAGGAGGACCAGCCGCACGGGGACUGGAACACGGCCCAUACUCCUGCGGUAGGCAGCAGUGGGGAACUGUGGACAGUGGGCGAGAGCCUGGUCCAGCGGUGCGGCGUGUGUGAUGAAGGCCUUCGGGUUGGAAAGCACGUUUUGCGGUAACGAAAAGGACUGGGCCAAUACCACGGGUCGAUGACGGUACCCGCAGAAGAAGCACCGGCUAACUACGUG